GAUUGACCUCGGAUCAGGUAGGGAUACCCGCUGAACUUAAGCNUAUCAU
Molecule: ribosomal RNA, 49 nt
Filed under: Lecanora swartzii
Lineage: Eukaryota; Fungi; Ascomycota; Lecanoromycetes; Lecanorales; Lecanoraceae
Description: partial 28S ribosomal RNA
Source: RNAcentral